UACGAAGGGGGCUAGCGUUGCUCGGAAUCACUGGGCGUAAAGCGCACGUAGGCGGGUCCUUAAGUGAGGGGUGAAAUCCCGGAGCUCAACUCCGGAACUGCCUUUGAUACUGGGGAUCUUGAGUCCGGAAGAGGUGAGUGGAACUCCGAGUGUAGAGGUGAAAUUCGUAGAUAUUCGGAAGAACACCAGUGGCGAAGGCGGCUCACUGGUCCGGUACUGACGCUGAGGUGCGAAAGCGUGGGGAGCAAACAGG
Molecule: ribosomal RNA, 253 nt
Filed under: uncultured bacterium
Lineage: Bacteria
Description: partial 16S ribosomal RNA
Rfam family: Bacterial small subunit ribosomal RNA
Source: RNAcentral